CUCGGCAGCCGGCCUUAGCCUGGAGGAGCAACCCUGGUCCAGAGAGGCAGACGAAUGGCGGCCCUGCCCCGUGGGGGCUCCGGUUCUUCUCCUCCAUCCUCCUCCAGGCUCCGCCCACCUGCUCCGUCUGCAUCCCAGGGCCUCGUGAAUCCCAGGGAAGCCAUGAGCUGCCACAUCACGCCCGGAAGGAAGCGGGCUGCGUUGGAGGGUGAAAGACGCACCAGCAACUUAGAAUUCGAGGCACUGCGGAGCUGGAAGGGGCCUCGGCGCUGCUCCCUCCGCCCCCUCAUUUCACAAACCGGAAAGCUGAGACCCAAAGCAAGGAAGGGACUUGGCCAAGGUCAGAGCUCAUCUGGGACCACACGAAGAUGAUAACUUGCUAGGAGUUUUGCAAAUGGGUUUGUCUACAGUUUGGUAGAAUUAAAACAUUUUUUUUUAGUUCAAAUUUUCAACAGUGGCCGGCUUCCUCUGAUCCACAGUGGUGGAGCACUGUGAUUGACAUUCAGCUGCAAAGCUCUUGCUGGGAAACGCGGUGACCGAGCCGUCAGCACAGGCGGCAGCUGCCUCCCACACUUAAGACAGGACUUCUAAAGCCACAGUCCCUGUGUGAGCCUCCUGGAGCUCACAGUCCCUCAAACGGCAGGCAGGUUUGUGAAUGUUUCCGUGUUCUGAACAUUUUUCUGAAAAAGGGUUCACAGCUUUAAUUGAUUUACAAAGAGACGUACACCAUGGAAGAGAUUGAGAAUCAUUUCCUUAAAGCAACAAGAAUCUAGGCUGGGGAGAAAUCAGAUUUUAGGAACGAGCUGCUAGGCAUCUUAGCAGCAUUCAGAGACAUGAAAGCAUUGCAUUGUUUCCUAGAUUUAAGAGCAUAUAUUUUGCAACAUGAAAGGGCUUCUAUGCUCUAGAAUGUAAGUUCCUCAAGGAUAGGGGUCUAGUCUAUCUCUUCACCUAAGGUAUCCUUAGAUCCUGGAUCAGCCUGCGCGUAAUCACAGGUGCGAACACACAUGUGAUUAAUUUGUUAGUCUGCACAGCACUUCUCUUUCCAUGCCCACUCCUGCCUGGUCUCCAGCAGUCGUGAGAAUUGCCAUCGUUAAGGAAACCCUGAUGCAAGAAUUGCAAGAAUGACUCUGUUUGUUUGUUUGUUUGUUUAUUGAGACGGAGUCUCGCUCUGUCGCCCAGGCUGGAGUGCAGUGGCGCGAUCUCGGCUCCCUGCAAACUCCACCUACCGGGUUCACGCCAUUCUCCUGCCUCAGCCUCCCGAGUAGCUGGGACUACAGGCGCCCGCCUGCGCGCCCGGCUAAUUUUUUGUAUUUUUAGUAGAGACGGGGUUUCACCGUGUUAGCCAGGAUGGUCUCGAUCUCCUGACCUCGUGAUCCGCCCGCCUCGGCCUCCCAAAGUGCUGGGGUUACAGGCGUGAGCCACCGCGCCCGGCCAAGAAUGACUUUGUAAAUCAGUGUUGACAUUCAGGACCUUUUUCAUUUCGUGUUAAAGACUGAUCACCCUGGGAAAAUCAAGGCAGUCCAGCCAAACCCCAACUCCCAAUCAAAUGCAGUUUGUAUCGAACCCCACGACUGCCCAGCACCUUUGGGAAGCCCAUUGCUUUCUGUGCAGACGCAGAGCUCCCAGAAAGCACAGGUGGAUGUGCUCAGCUUGCCUUGUGACGUGAAUGCCUGAAAACAGAACAGGACUAAAAA
RNAcentral lists this long non-coding RNA (1694 nucleotides) under Pan troglodytes (chimpanzee). Its description in RNAcentral is "lincRNA". The record is from RNAcentral. Lineage: Eukaryota; Metazoa; Chordata; Mammalia; Primates; Hominidae.